RNAcentral lists this small RNA (27 nucleotides) under Bombyx mori (domestic silkworm). RNAcentral describes it as "ovarian small RNA-23201". Lineage: Eukaryota; Metazoa; Arthropoda; Insecta; Lepidoptera; Bombycidae. The record is from RNAcentral.
UAGUUUACUAGAGUUAGCCGGUACGAU